Molecule: small RNA, 74 nt
Filed under: Prevotella heparinolytica
Lineage: Bacteria; Pseudomonadati; Bacteroidota; Bacteroidia; Bacteroidales; Prevotellaceae
Description: Bacteroides-1 RNA
Rfam family: Bacteroides-1 RNA
Source: RNAcentral
AAUCCGCCUGAAGCUAUCGAUGUAUAUGUGAAUAUCCAUAAGGUAGUACGUAUGUCUCCCCGACAUAGACAGGU